This 497-nucleotide ribosomal RNA is filed under the name uncultured bacterium. RNAcentral describes it as "partial 16S ribosomal RNA". It matches the Rfam family "Bacterial small subunit ribosomal RNA", at positions 28 to 507 of the family's 1533-position model. The record is from RNAcentral.
GAUGAACGCUGGCGGCGUGCCUAAUACAUGCAAGUCGAGCGAACAGGCGAGUAGCUUGCUCCUCUGACGUUAGCGGCGGACGGGUGAGUAACGCGUGGAUAACCUACCUAUAAGACUGGGAUAACUUCGGGAAACCGGAGCUAAUACCGGAUAAUAUAUUGAACCGCAUGGUUCAAUAGUGAAAGACGGUUUUGCUGUCACUUAUAGAUGGAUCCGCGCCGCAUUAGCUAGUUGGUAAGGUAACGGCUUACCAAGGCAACGAUGCGUAGCCGACCUGAGAGGGUGAUCGGCCACACUGGAACUGAGACACGGUCCAGACUCCUACGGGAGGCAGCAGUAGGGAAUCUUCCGCAAUGGGCGAAAGCCUGACGGAGCAACGCCGCGUGAGUGAUGAAGGUCUUCGGAUCGUAAAACUCUGUUAUUAGGGAAGAACAAAUGUGUAAGUAACUAUGCACGUCUUGACGGUACCUAAUCAGAAAGCCACGGCUAACUACGUG